RNAcentral lists this ribosomal RNA (156 nucleotides) under salal root associated fungus UBCTRA 1542.10. Its description in RNAcentral is "5.8S ribosomal RNA". It matches the Rfam family "5.8S ribosomal RNA". Rfam says of the family: 5.8S ribosomal RNA (5.8S rRNA) is a component of the large subunit of the eukaryotic ribosome. The record is from RNAcentral. Lineage: Eukaryota; Fungi; Basidiomycota; Agaricomycetes; Sebacinales; Sebacinaceae.
AACUUUCAACAACGGAUCUCUUGGCUCUCGCAUCGAUGAAGAGCGCAGCGAAAUGCGAUAAGUAAUGUGAAUUGCAGAAUUCAGUGAAUCAUCGAAUCUUUGAACGCACCUUGCACCCUUUGGUAUUCCGAAGGGUACGCCCGUUUGAGUGUCAUU